GACGAACGCUGGCGGCGUGCCUAAUACAUGCAAGUAGAACGCUGAAGCGAGGAGCUUGCUCUUCUUGGAUGAGUUGCGAACGGGUGAGUAACGCGUAGGUAACCUGCCUUGUAGCGGGGGAUAACUAUUGGAAACGAUAGCUAAUACCGCAUAACAAUGGAUGACACAUGUCAUUUAUUUGAAAGGGGCAAUUGCUCCACUACAAGAUGGACCUGCGUUGUAUUAGCUAGUAGGUGAGGUAAUGGCUCACCUAGGCGACGAUACAUAGCCGACCUGAGAGGGUGAUCGGCCACACUGGGACUGAGACACGGCCCAGACUCCUACGGGAGGCAGCAGGAGGGAAUCUUCGGCAAUGGGGGCAACCCUGACCGAGCAACGCCGCGUGAGUGAAGAAGGUUUUCGGAUCGUAAAGCUCUGUUGUAAGUCAAGAACGGGUGUGAGAGUGGAAAGUUCACACUGUGACGGUAGCUUACCAGAAAGGGACGGCUAACUACGUG
This 497-nucleotide ribosomal RNA is filed under the name uncultured bacterium. Its description in RNAcentral is "partial 16S ribosomal RNA". It matches the Rfam family "Bacterial small subunit ribosomal RNA", at positions 28 to 507 of the family's 1533-position model. The record is from RNAcentral.